Molecule: long non-coding RNA, 1217 nt
Organism: Hypomesus transpacificus
Lineage: Eukaryota; Metazoa; Chordata; Actinopteri; Osmeriformes; Osmeridae
Exons: 2
Source: RefSeq, a predicted model, not a curated record
GAUUUAUUUUAUUUAAAAUUGAAUUCGACGUUAUCAUUUAUUGUGAAAUUUGAUAACGAUAUACGCAAUUCAGGUAAAUGGGCCUUGGAAGGAGGCUGUUUAGGGGGCUGGCCAUGAUGGGUACUGCUCUUCGGCGUAUUGGAAGACAAGUUGUGGCCCCAAUCUCUUCUCUCCCGCACCGACGGAGAUCAGUAAGCCCGCAGGCUGCUCUCGCAUCGGUGGCCUGUCACCGACAUCAUCUGGCGGCUCUCCAGGCCAGCAUCCGGGAGCCGACCUACAGUGGUGCUGCGAAGGCUGUGGUUUGUGUAGACCCUUGAAAGACCCACCUGAAAGAUAGUGGACACCCAUUGGCUCCCGGCUGUACCAUAUUUCGAAGGUCAUCAUGCCACGUUUUGGGUGGAGGUAGAACAAUUUGGCAUCAGAUGGACACUUGCCAAUGUAUGCUUCAAAACCUUUUACGGAUCUCCGGGCCUGGCAAACAUAAAACCUCUCAGGUUUUCUUUGUCUGGGUCAUUCGGGUCUUUGUGUUUUUUUUUUCAGGAUUGCAGGCCAGGCUGACAUAUUCGACCCCAUCCUCGUCUCUCUGGACGAUGAAAGAUGCCCCUGACAGCUCCCGGUUUCCCCCCCUGCCACGCCGAGCCAAACAUAGUUGCACAUCAAACCAUACUUUUUGGACCAAGCCACGGGGUGUAUCGGGAGACAGUGCUGGGGAAUUUUUCAUCUUCUCAAGGUCGGACUCAGAAAUGCGGGGAUGGUGGAAGCUUGUAUCUUUACCUCUUUUCCUGUAACUCUUAACUAUAGAUUGAAACACCGCAUUACUGCUCUUGAAUCUUGUAUCAGUCAUGAUAUUGAAAGCAGUUAUAUGACGGUUAAUACCUGCCCUUAAACACCUUAGGCUGGCAACGCUGUACUCCCCCCCUCCCUUGGCCUUGAUGGACUGGACAGAGGCGUAAAAUCCCCGCAGGGUCUCAUUCAGCAAGUCGGCGGUCUAUUUUUCAAAGUUGGUGUUCAUUUGUUUUUGUGAAAGGAAGUCCCUUAGUGUAUUAAUUGCCCAUUUCGUUGUUUUGUUUGUGUUCAUCUUUGUCAUUGUCUUCUUCUAUCUGAUUUAAUUCUCCCGGUGUUAUCUCCUUGUGCCGUUUCUUCUGUUUCUCUUCAUUUUCUCUUUCCCAGUUAUCAAAGUUUUCAUAUUCUCCAAAUAAAUUUAACGAAAUGUUGAA